Heterocephalus glaber (naked mole-rat) is the source of this 1566-nucleotide non-coding RNA. NCBI's taxonomy places the organism in Eukaryota, Metazoa, Chordata, Mammalia, Rodentia, Bathyergidae. The record is from RefSeq and is a predicted model, not a curated record.
UCACUAAAGUUUUUCUUAUUUAGAAUAUGGUAAUAUUGCUAUCUUCUAGAACAAAAUAUCAAUAAAGAGAUGAGGAUUUAUUUAAGUAUAUAUAGAAUUUUGACAGGUUGCAUUUCAACCCCUUUGACAAUCUCUUUCACAUUCUCUGCUCUGACAAACACCCUUUUGGACGACUUUAUUCACAACAGACACAACCUUGGUGUUAGGCCAGUCUGGGUACAGACAGGAUGUAACUUGUAAGAAGCAGCAGCACUGCUGUGCCAGAAAGAUUCCCUGCCAGCUGAGAAGCACACCCACCUCUUCCUUUUGCUUUGCUGCUAAGUAGAGAGACGCCUGGAGAAAGAGGCCACCUUAACUCAGGAGCUCUGGAGUGUGACUGACACCCUGUUCUUUGUAAGGAGGGGACAGUACAAGAGGCAGAACAUUUGAGGAGAGACCAGGAUCAGACAUUGGCGGUGUUUGGCCCCUCUGGACAUUGGUCUGUGGAAGGAGAGGCCACCCUGAUGGUAUUCUGGGGCUAGGCCACCCUGACGGUAUUCUGGGGCUCUGGGUAGGCCGGUCCCAGUCGGGCCCCAUCACCGAUCAACCGACCCACAGGAGUUUAUCGAGGAAGCCUCUAGAGGUUGAAAUUAUGGGUUCCUCACAGUCCACAGAAGGAACUCCACUUGAUUGUGUUUUGAAUAACUUCAAAAAAUUUAUUCCACAGACAGAGAAGAUGAAUAUGGCAUAAAAGUUUCCAAAGGCAAAUUGCGAACUCUGUGUCAAUCAGAAUGGUCAAGUUUCGGAGUCAGUUGGCCCCCGGUGGGAAUUUAUUCUGUGCACAUUGCUAGCAAGGUUUGAAAUGUGGUCACGGGAGUCGGGGCCCCACAGGUCUCAAUUGACUUUUGGCACUCGAUCGGGACAGGACUAUGGUCCAUCAGCCCCAUCUUCCUCCUCCUUUUUUCCUUUAAAACAGACAGAGCCUGGGGGAGGAUUGAUUUAUGUCCCUUUUACAACUAAUGAUCUUUACAAUUGGAAACAUCAAAAUCCCCCCUUCUCUGAAAAAACCUCAGGCAUUAAUCUCUUCUUGAGUCUGUUUUUCAUACCCAUCAGCCAACCUGGGAUGAUUGCCAGCAGCUUUUACAGAUCCUGCUCACCACUGAGGAGCGGGACUGCAUUUAUCAACAGGCAGUCAAAGAGGCCCUGGGACCAAACCCUGGCAUCACUCCCAGAACUCCAAGGCAUUCAGCCAAGGCUGAAACAGUAGUUCCAUCGUGACACCCUGAAUGGGACCCCAAUGAUGAUGAUGGUAAGAGGAGGCUGGGGACCUACUGCCAGCACUUAUUAGGGGGACCCCGGGCAGCGGCCAGAAAGCUCACUAAUUUGAGUAAGGUAAGUGAGGUUUGCCAGGGAGAAAUGGAGUCUCCGACUGCAUUUUUGGAGAGACUCUUGGAAACCUAUAGAGUUUUCACUCCUUUUGACCCAGAGGCACCCAAAAAUGCAGCAGCUUUAAAUCCGGCCUUUGUUUCCCAGUUGGCCCCAGGCAUUAAAAAAAAUUACAGAAAUUAGAGGGAUUUGAGGGAAAGA